Molecule: ribosomal RNA, 1363 nt
Filed under: uncultured bacterium
Lineage: Bacteria
Description: bacterial SSU rRNA
Rfam family: Bacterial small subunit ribosomal RNA
Source: RNAcentral
AUUGAACGCUGGCGGCAGGCCUAACACAUGCAAGUCGAACGGUAACAGGAAACAGCUUGCUGUUUCGCUGACGAGUGGCGGACGGGUGAGUAAUGUCUGGGAAACUGCCUGAUGGAGGGGGAUAACUACUGGAAACGGUAGCUAAUACCGCAUAACGUCGCAAGACCAAAGAGGGGGACCCUCGGGCCUCUUGCCAUCGGAUGUGCCCAGAUGGGAUUAGCUUGUUGGUGGGGUAACGGCUCACCAAGGCGACGAUCCCUAGCUGGUCUGAGAGGAUGACCAGCCACACUGGAACUGAGACACGGUCCAGACUCCUACGGGAGGCAGCAGUGGGGAAUAUUGCACAAUGGGCGCAAGCCUGAUGCAGCCAUGCCGCGUGUAUGAAGAAGGCCUUCGGGUUGUAAAGUACUUUCAGCGGGGAGGAAGGGAGUAAAGUUAAUACCUUUGCUCAUUGACGUUACCCGCAGAAGAAGCACCGGCUAACUCCGUGCCAGCAGCCGCGGUAAUACGGAGGGUGCAAGCGUUAAUCGGAAUUACUGGGCGUAAAGCGCACGCAGGCGGUUUGUUAAGUCAGAUGUGAAAUCCCCGGGCUCAACCUGGGAACUGCAUCUGAUACUGGCAAGCUUGAGUCUCGUAGAGGGGGGUAGAAUUCCAGGUGUAGCGGUGAAAUGCGUAGAGAUCUGGAGGAAUACCGGUGGCGAAGGCGGCCCCCUGGACGAAGACUGACGCUCAGGUGCGAAAGCGUGGGGAGCAAACAGGAUUAGAUACCCUGGUAGUCCACGCCGUAAACGAUGUCGACUUGGAGGUUGUGCCCUUGAGGCGUGGCUUCCGGAGCUAACGCGUUAAGUCGACCGCCUGGGGAGUACGGCCGCAAGGUUAAAACUCAAAUGAAUUGACGGGGGCCCGCACAAGCGGUGGAGCAUGUGGUUUAAUUCGAUGCAACGCGAAGAACCUUACCUGGUCUUGACAUCCACGGAAGUUUUCAGAGAUGAGAAUGUGCCUUCGGGAACCGUGAGACAGGUGCUGCAUGGCUGUCGUCAGCUCGUGUUGUGAAAUGUUGGGUUAAGUCCCGCAACGAGCGCAACCCUUAUCCUUUGUUGCCAGCGGUCCGGCCGGGAACUCAAAGGAGACUGCCAGUGAUAAACUGGAGGAAGGUGGGGAUGACGUCAAGUCAUCAUGGCCCUUACGACCAGGGCUACACACGUGCUACAAUGGCGCAUACAAAGAGAAGCGACCUCGCGAGAGCAAGCGGACCUCAUAAAGUGCGUCGUAGUCCGGAUUGGAGUCUGCAACUCGACUCCAUGAAGUCGGAAUCGCUAGCAAUCGUGGAUCAGAAUGCCACGGUGAAUACGUUCCCGGGCCU